CAUAGGUUAAUGAGGCGAACCGGGGGAACUGAAACAUCUAAGUACCCCGAGGAAAAGAAAUCAACCGAGAUUCCCCCAGUAGCGGCGAGCGAACGGGGAGGAGCCCAGAGCCUGAAUCAGUGUGUGUGUUAGUGGAAGCGUCUGGAAAGGCGCGCGAUACAGGGUGACAGCCCCGUACACAAAAAUGCACAUGCUGUGAGCUCGAUGAGUAGGGCGGGACACGUGGUAUCCUGUCUGAAUAUGGGGGGACCAUCCUCCAAGGCUAAAUACUCCUGACUGACCGAUAGUGAACCAGUACCGUGAGGGAAAGGCGAAAAGAACCCCGGCGAGGGGAGUGAAAAAGAACCUGAAACCGUGUACGUACAAGCAGUGGGAGCACAGAGCAAUCUGUGUGACUGCGUACCUUUUGUAUAAUGGGUCAGCGACUUAUAUUCUGUAGCAAGGUUAACCGAAUAGGGGAGCCGAAGGGAAACCGAGUCUUAACUGGGCGUUAAGUUGCAGGGUAUAGACCCGAAACCCGGUGAUCUAGCCAUGGGCAGGUUGAAGGUUGGGUAACACUAACUGGAGGACCGAACCGACUAAUGUUGAAAAAUUAGCGGAUGACUUGUGGCUGGGGGUGAAAGGCCAAUCAAACCGGGAGAUAGCUGGUUCUCCCCGAAAGCUAUUUAGGUAGCGCCUCGUGAAUUCAUCUCCGGGGGUAGAGCACUGUUUCGGCAAGGGGGUCAUCCCGACUUACCAACCCGAUGCAAACUGCGAAUACCGGAGAAUGUUAUCACGGGAGACACACGGCGGGUGCUAACGUCCGUCGUGAAGAGGGAAACAACCCAGACCGCCAGCUAAGGUCCCAAAGUCAUGGUUAAGUGGGAAACGAUGUGGGAAGGCCCAGACAGCCAGGAUGUUGGCUUAGAAGCAGCCAUCAUUUAAAGAAAGCGUAAUAGCUCACUGGUCGAGUCGGCCUGCGCGGAAGAUGUAACGGGGCUAAACCAUGCACCGAAGCUGCGGCAGCGACACUAUGUGUUGUUGGGUAGGGGAGCGUUCUGUAAGCCUGUGAAGGUGUGCUGUGAGGCAUGCUGGAGGUAUCAGAAGUGCGAAUGCUGACAUAAGUAACGAUAAAGCGGGUGAAAAGCCCGCUCGCCGGAAGACCAAGGGUUCCUGUCCAACGUUAAUCGGGGCAGGGUGAGUCGACCCCUAAGGCGAGGCCGAAAGGCGUAGUCGAUGGGAAACAGGUUAAUAUUCCUGUACUUGGUGUUACUGCGAAGGGGGGACGGAGAAGGCUAUGUUGGCCGGGCGACGGUUGUCCCGGUUUAAGCGUGUAGGCUGGUUUUCCAGGCAAAUCCGGAAAAUCAAGGCUGAGGCGUGAUGACGAGGCACUACGGUGCUGAAGCAACAAAUGCCCUGCUUCCAGGAAAAGCCUCUAAGCAUCAGGUAACAUCAAAUCGUACCCCAAACCGACACAGGUGGUCAGGUAGAGAAUACCAAGGCGCUUGAGAGAACUCGGGUGAAGGAACUAGGCAAAAUGGUGCCGUAACUUCGGGAGAAGGCACGCUGAUAUGUAGGUGAAGCGACUUGCUCGUGGAGCUGAAAUCAGUCGAAGAUACCAGCUGGCUGCAACUGUUUAUUAAAAACACAGCACUGUGCAAACACGAAAGUGGACGUAUACGGUGUGACGCCUGCCCGGUGCCGGAAGGUUAAUUGAUGGGGUCAGCGCAAGCGAAGCUCUUGAUCGAAGCCCCGGUAAACGGCGGCCGUAACUAUAACGGUCCUAAGGUAGCGAAAUUCCUUGUCGGGUAAGUUCCGACCUGCACGAAUGGCGUAAUGAUGGCCAGGCUGUCUCCACCCGAGACUCAGUGAAAUUGAACUCGCUGUGAAGAUGCAGUGUACCCGCGGCAAGACGGAAAGACCCCGUGAACCUUUACUAUAGCUUGACACUGAACAUUGAGCCUUGAUGUGUAGGAUAGGUGGGAGGCUUUGAAGUGUGGACGCCAGUCUGCAUGGAGCCGACCUUGAAAUACCACCCUUUAAUGUUUGAUGUUCUAACGUUGACCCGUAAUCCGGGUUGCGGACAGUGUCUGGUGGGUAGUUUGACUGGGGCGGUCUCCUCCUAAAGAGUAACGGAGGAGCACGAAGGUUGGCUAAUCCUGGUCGGACAUCAGGAGGUUAGUGCAAUGGCAUAAGCCAGCUUGACUGCGAGCGUGACGGCGCGAGCAGGUGCGAAAGCAGGUCAUAGUGAUCCGGUGGUUCUGAAUGGAAGGGCCAUCGCUCAACGGAUAAAAGGUACUCCGGGGAUAACAGGCUGAUACCGCCCAAGAGUUCAUAUCGACGGCGGUGUUUGGCACCUCGAUGUCGGCUCAUCACAUCCUGGGGCUGAAGUAGGUCCCAAGGGUAUGGCUGUUCGCCAUUUAAAGUGGUACGCGAGCUGGGUUUAGAACGUCGUGAGACAGUUCGGUCCCUAUCUGCCGUGGGCGCUGGAGAACUGAGGGGGGCUGCUCCUAGUACGAGAGGACCGGAGUGGACGCAUCACUGGUGUUCGGGUUGUCAUGCCAAUGGCACUGCCCGGUAGCUAAAUGCGGAAGAGAUAAGUGCUGAAAGCAUCUAAGCACGAAACUUGCCCCGAGAUGAGUUCUC
This 2625-nucleotide ribosomal RNA is filed under the name Escherichia coli. Its description in RNAcentral is "partial 23S ribosomal RNA". It matches the Rfam family "Bacterial large subunit ribosomal RNA". Lineage: Bacteria; Pseudomonadati; Pseudomonadota; Gammaproteobacteria; Enterobacterales; Enterobacteriaceae. The record is from RNAcentral.